RNAcentral lists this ribosomal RNA (1376 nucleotides) under uncultured eukaryote. Its description in RNAcentral is "SSU rRNA". It matches the Rfam family "Eukaryotic small subunit ribosomal RNA", at positions 384 to 1799 of the family's 1831-position model. The record is from RNAcentral.
CGGAGAGGGAGCAUGAGAAACGGCUACCACAUCUAAGGAAGGCAGCAGGCGCGUAAAUUACCCAAUCCUGACUCAGGGAGGUAGUGACAAGAAAUAUCAAUAUAAGACUUUUAUGUCUUGUAAUUGGGAUGAGCGAAACAUAAACCGCUUCUCGAGUAUCAAUUGGAGGGCAAGUCUGGUGCCAGCAGCCGCGGUAAUUCCAGCUCCAAUAGCGUAUAUUAAAAUUGUUGCGGUUAAAACGCUCGUAGUUGGAUAUCUGCUAAGGGGUUCCGGUCCUUCCCAGUGAAGAAUACGCGGAACUCUUCUUGGCAUUUAUUCAGGGAAGGUGUUUGCACUUUGUUGUGUGUCACAUGAUCUGAAUUUUUACUUUGAGGAAAUGAGAGUGUUUCAAGCAGGCUUUCGCCGUGAAUAUGAUAGCAUGGAAUAAUAGCACAGGACCCCUUUCCAAAGCUGUUGGUUUUUGGAACGAGGUAAUCAGAAUAAGGAUAGUUGGGGGUAUUCGUAUUUAACUGUCAGAGGUGGAAUUCUUGGAUUUUUUAAAGACGAACUAUUGCGAAGGCAUCUGCCCAGGAUGUUUUUAUUGAUCAAGAACGAAAGUUAGGGGAUCGAAGACGAUCAGAUACCGUCCUAGUCUUAACCUUAAACUAUGCCGGCUGGAGAUUGGAGUUGUCAGAAUUGUGACAUCUUCAGCAUCCUGAGAGAAAUCGAAGUCUUUGGGUUCCGGGGGGAGUAUGGUCGCAAGGCUGAAACUUAAAGGAAUUGACGGAAGGGCACCACCAGGAGUGGAGCCUGCGGCUUAAUUUGACUCAACACGGGGAAACUCACCAGGUCCAGACAUAGAUAGGAUUGACAGACUGAUAGCUCUUUCUUAAUUCUAUGGGUGGUGGUGCAUGGCCGUCCUUAGUUGGUGGAGUGAUUUGUCUGGUUAAUUCCGUUAACGAACGAGACCUUAACCUGCUAAAUAGUUUCCAGAACUUCGGUUCUCGGGUUACUUCUUAGAGGGACUUUGUGUGUUUAACACAAGGAAGUUUGAGGCAAUAACAGGUCUGUGAUGCCCUUAGAUGUCCUGGGCCGCACGCGUGUUACAAUGACACGGUCAGCAAGUAUUCCCUGCCUCGAUAGAGGUUCGGGUAAUCUUAUUAGUCCGUAUCGUAGUGGGAAUUGCCCUUUGUAAUUAUAGGACAUGAACUAGGAUUUCCUAGUAUAGGUGUGCCAUCAGCGCACCUAGAUUAAGUCCCUGCCCUUUGUACACACCGCCCGUCGCUCCUACCGAUUGUGUGAUUCGGUAAACCUUCUGGACUAGAUGAGCCUUCGAGGCUUAUCUGGGAAGUUAAGUAAACCAUUAUCACUUAGAGGAAGGAGAAGUCGUAACAAGG